This 71-nucleotide transfer RNA is filed under the name Rickettsiales bacterium. Its description in RNAcentral is "tRNA-Asp". It matches the Rfam family "tRNA". From Rfam's summary of the family: Transfer RNA (tRNA) molecules are approximately 80 nucleotides in length. Their secondary structure includes four short double-helical elements and three loops (D, anti-codon, and T loops). Further hydrogen bonds mediate the characteristic L-shaped molecular structure. tRNAs have two regions of fundamental functional importance: the anti-codon, which is responsible for specific mRNA codon recognition, and the 3' end, to which the tRNAs corresponding amino acid is attached (by aminoacyl-tRNA synthetases). tRNAs cope with the degeneracy of the genetic code in two manners: having more than one tRNA (with a specific anti-codon) for a particular amino acid; and 'wobble' base-pairing, i.e. permitting non-standard base-pairing at the 3rd anti-codon position. Lineage: Bacteria; Pseudomonadati; Pseudomonadota; Alphaproteobacteria; Rickettsiales. The record is from RNAcentral.
GUCUAAUUGGUGUAGUGGUAACAUCUCUGCUUGUCGAGUAGUGGCCGAGAGUUCGAUUCUCUCAUUAGACG